RNAcentral lists this ribosomal RNA (210 nucleotides) under uncultured bacterium. RNAcentral describes it as "partial 16S ribosomal RNA". It matches the Rfam family "Bacterial small subunit ribosomal RNA", at positions 524 to 731 of the family's 1533-position model. The record is from RNAcentral.
UACGGUAGGGUGCGAGCGUUAAUCGGAAUUACUGGGCGUAAAGCGUGCGCAGGCGGUUUGUAAGCCAGGUGUGAAAUCCCCGGGCUCAACCUGGGAACUGGCAUUUGUGACUGCAUCGCUGGAGUGCGGCAGAGGGGAUGGAAUUCCGCGUGUAGCAGUGGAAAUGCGUAGAUAAUGCGGAGGAACACCGAUGGCGAAGGCAAUCCCCUG